This 1333-nucleotide ribosomal RNA is filed under the name Triticum aestivum (bread wheat). Its description in RNAcentral is "partial small subunit ribosomal RNA". Lineage: Eukaryota; Viridiplantae; Streptophyta; Magnoliopsida; Poales; Poaceae. The record is from RNAcentral.
GACUGACCGGCGCCCCUCAUAUUCAGCCCAAAUAUGGGGCGGAUAUUUAUAGUACCAGACAAACGAAUCUUCAUUUUUCAGGACUGUGGAGGAACACUGGGUCAGUCAAGCACCCGUUAAUUUUCUAUAUAGCUUCGCUGACAGGUUUGGAUACAUACCGAACUAAGGACUAGGCCUGGAUCGACACAUGGCAUUGAUACUAUUCAAUAUGGAAAAAAUGUGUAAUACAAACACUCCAGUCACUAACAAGUAACAACAGGUUCCGUUUCCACCGGUACCUUGACCAGGAUACAUCCAUCUAUCAUCCCCUUAAUUUGCAGCAACAAACAGCUCGUACGUGUCUGGUGAAAUCGAGGCUAGCUAUGGCGUCCAAAACUCAGCUCUUAGUUUACCUGCUCGUUGCAUUCUUCUUCUUCUUCCUUGUGGCUUCUCCGGUUGAUGCUGCUAGAAAACUAGCUGAUGAUUACACAGGACUUCCACCUAUUCCACCUUCCUACGGCACGCCACCAGCAGGACCGUAGGGCGGAGUUUGCAUCGUACGGUGGAGGGGUUUACAAUUAUACACAUAUACAUAUACAUAUCUGAAAAUAAUGUCCAAAUAUAUAUAUCGGGUACGACCAUACAUAUAUAUAUAAACUUCUACUACGAAUAAAAUGUACUACAUGGGUACGUCGACACACAUGUAUUGUACCUGCUAUAUAUAUGUGUGUGUGUGUGUGUGUGUCUCUACAUGUUUAGAAAACAUAUGUACUUCUCCAUAUGUGUGCCUGUCAUAUCGGCUAUUACCCCGGCCUAUGGUCCUGGCUAUGUAUAUCUCUCUAUCUUUGCUUUCAUAAUUACUAUUUGAACAGUCAAAAAACGUCUUACAUUAUGGGAUGCACGAAGUAGUAAUCAAUCUGCUGGGUGAGCUGGUUGGUACUGGUGUGUUGUGCAGUCGAUGCCAUGAGUUUAUAACAAGUAUUGUAAAGAUUGACCAGAGUUGACUCUUGCGUGAGUGGAGACCGAUUAGUUGCACCUGAACAUCGGUUUUGUCACCCUGUGGAAAAAAGCUGACCUUCCAAAACUAAAGAUGAGACGAGUAAUAAACAUAUUUGACCACUAUACUUUUUUGGAUAUAUAUGUUGGCAACAACCUUUUACAUAGAAGCUGAAAAAUUCUGGUAGCACUUGUUCCAAGAAGUAUUGUAUUUUCGGAGUAGAGGGAAUAUCUAAAUAUUCUUGUUAGUACCGUCUUCUCAGAGAGAUUACCUAUAUAUAACAUAUUAUUAUUAUUGUUCUUUUAUUAAAAGCAUAUAUCCCAUAGUGUUGCUUUUUCAUAGCAAGCAUGUCGUCUA